RNAcentral lists this ribosomal RNA (427 nucleotides) under uncultured bacterium. RNAcentral's name for it is "bacterial SSU rRNA". It matches the Rfam family "Bacterial small subunit ribosomal RNA", at positions 527 to 966 of the family's 1533-position model. The record is from RNAcentral.
GGAGGAUCCGAGCGUUAUCCGGAUUUAUUGGGUUUAAAGGGUGCGUAGGCGGCCUUUUAAGUCAGCGGUGAAAGUCUGUGGCUCAACCAUAGAAUUGCCGUUGAAACUGGGGGGCUUGAGUAUGUUUGAGGCAGGCGGAAUGCGUGGUGUAGCGGUGAAAUGCUUAGAUAUCACGCAGAACCCCGAUUGCGAAGGCAGCCUGCCAAGCCAUGACUGACGCUGAUGCACGAAAGCGUGGGGAUCAAACAGGAUUAGAUACCCUGGUAGUCCACGCAGUAAUCGAUGAUCACUAGCUGUUUGCGAUACAGUGUAAGCGGCACAGCGAAAGCGUUAAGUGAUCCACCUGGGGAGUACGCCGGCAACGGUGAAACUCAAAGGAAUUGACGGCCNGUCAAUUCCUUUGAGUUUACGGGUGAUGGUAUUACCG